This 253-nucleotide ribosomal RNA is filed under the name uncultured bacterium. RNAcentral's name for it is "partial 16S ribosomal RNA". It matches the Rfam family "Bacterial small subunit ribosomal RNA", at positions 524 to 776 of the family's 1533-position model. The record is from RNAcentral.
GACGAACCGUGCGAACGUUGUUCGGAAUCAUUGGGCGUAAAGAGCGUGUAGGCGGUCCGAUAAGUCCGCUCUGAAAGCCCGGGGCUCAACCCCGGGAGGCGGGCGGAUACUGUCGGGCUAGAGUCCGGAAGAGGCAAGUGGAAUUCCUGGUGUAGCGGUGAAAUGCGCAGAUAUCAGGAGGAACACCGAUGGCGAAGGCAGCUUGCUGGGACGGUACUGACGCUGAGACGCGAAAGCGUGGGGAGCAAACAGG